CCUAAACUGCAGAAAAAAAGAAUAAUUUAAAAAGAAAAUCAAUACGAGUAGAAAAAGUAAUUAAAUGGAAAAAGCAUUUGUGAGUGAGAUGUACUAAAAAAGAAAGUGACAAAGUCUCGAGAAUAAGAAAAAAAAUCAUUCAUCAGUGCACAGAAACUCGUAGGCUAGCUGUAGUUACUAUAAUAUUCUAUGAUUUGCUAUGCAG
RNAcentral lists this long non-coding RNA (205 nucleotides) under Gossypium raimondii (Peruvian cotton). RNAcentral describes it as "long non-coding RNA (GRAI_LNC001455)". The record is from RNAcentral. Lineage: Eukaryota; Viridiplantae; Streptophyta; Magnoliopsida; Malvales; Malvaceae.